This is a non-coding RNA of Pelobates cultripes (western spadefoot toad), 410 nucleotides long. Lineage: Eukaryota; Metazoa; Chordata; Amphibia; Anura; Pelobatidae. The record is from the annotation of a GenBank genome assembly.
CCUGGGCACCCACACCACAACCUGCUUUCUCGUGCUGGUUGUCUUGACUUGAGCAAAAAACGGGUUGCAAGAAUAUUCUGAGAACGGACAGCGACUGAAAUAGCCUGCCCUUUGGUGGAUCCCCGCUCAGAACUCAAGCUGGUUUUAGCUCAUCUUGUGCCAUUACAGAGAGAACAUAUCUGACUGGUUCCACCCAUAUGGGCAGUCCAGAUCUGAUAUGCCAGCAAGUUCCCUCUGCACAAGAGACACAGCAACCCCAGACGAUCGUUUCAGCCUUGUUAGGCAUCAUCAGUGAAGCAUAGCUGAUAUCUCUCUAAGCACCGUGAGCAAGGGGUCCACGUCUGGAUUACCCUUUAAACUUAUAGAGAGCAAAAAACGGGUCGCAAGAGUAUUCUGAGAAUGGACAACGA